Molecule: ribosomal RNA, 253 nt
Filed under: uncultured bacterium
Lineage: Bacteria
Description: partial 16S ribosomal RNA
Rfam family: Bacterial small subunit ribosomal RNA
Source: RNAcentral
UACGGAGGGGGCUAGCGUUGUUCGGAAUUACUGGGCGUAAAGCGCACGUAGGCGGCUUUGCAAGUUAGGGGUGAAAUCCCAGAGCUCAACUCUGGAACUGCCUUUAAUACUGGGUAUCUCGAGUCCGAGAGAGGUGAGUGGAAUUCCGAGUGUAGAGGUGAAAUUCGUAGAUAUUCGGAGGAACACCAGUGGCGAAGGCGGCUCACUGGCUCGGUACUGACGCUGAGGUGCGAAAGCGUGGGGAGCAAACAGG